UUGAACGCUGGCGGCAGGUCUAACACAUGCAAGUCGAGCGGAUGAAGGGAGCUUGCUCCUGGAUUCAGCGGCGGACGGGUGAGUAAUGCCUAGGAAUCUGCCUGGUAGUGGGGGAUAACGUCCGGAAACGGGCGCUAAUACCGCAUACGUCCUGAGGGAGAAAGUGGGGGAUCUUCGGACCUCACGCUAUCAGAUGAGCCUAGGUCGGAUUAGCUAGUUGGUGGGGUAAAGGCCUACCAAGGCGACGAUCCGUAACUGGUCUGAGAGGAUGAUCAGUCACACUGGAACUGAGACACGGUCCAGACUCCUACGGGAGGCAGCAGUGGGGAAUAUUGGACAAUGGGCGAAAGCCUGAUCCAGCCAUGCCGCGUGUGUGAAGAAGGUCUUCGGAUUGUAAAGCACUUUAAGUUGGGAGGAAGGGCAGUAAGUUAAUACCUUGCUGUUUUGACGUUACCAACAGAAUAAGCACCGGCUAACUUCGUG
This 483-nucleotide ribosomal RNA is filed under the name uncultured bacterium. Its description in RNAcentral is "partial 16S ribosomal RNA". It matches the Rfam family "Bacterial small subunit ribosomal RNA", at positions 30 to 507 of the family's 1533-position model. The record is from RNAcentral.